This 234-nucleotide ribosomal RNA is filed under the name uncultured bacterium. RNAcentral's name for it is "partial 16S ribosomal RNA". It matches the Rfam family "Bacterial small subunit ribosomal RNA", at positions 558 to 788 of the family's 1533-position model. The record is from RNAcentral.
GCGUAAAGCGAGCGCAGGCGGUUCCUUAAGUCUGAUGUGAAAGCCCCCGGCUCAACCGGGGAGGGUCAUUGGAAACUGGGGAACUUGAGUGCAGAAGAGGAGAGUGGAAUUCCAUGUGUAGCGGUGAAAUGCGUAGAUAUAUGGAGGAACACCAGUGGCGAAGGCGACUCUCUGGUCUGUAACUGACGCUGAGGCUCGAAAGCGUGGGUAGCAAACAGGAUGUCGACGCGGCCG